RNAcentral lists this unclassified non-coding RNA (515 nucleotides) under Cyperus lipomexicanus. RNAcentral describes it as "partial contains trnH gene (partial), trnH-psbA IGS and psbA gene (partial)". The record is from RNAcentral. Lineage: Eukaryota; Viridiplantae; Streptophyta; Magnoliopsida; Poales; Cyperaceae.
UCANUCCAUAAUUUAUAAAACAGGUUACGAUUUGGUAGAUUUUACACCUACCCAUUUUUUGGAAAUGAAAGAUAUAAACAAUAGAAAUAUUAAAUCAWURGAAAUAUUAAAUCUUUACUUUAUCUUUAUCCAAAAAAAUUUUUGGUGNAAAAAAUUAUUUAUAAUCCNUAUUUUUCAAAAUAAAAAAAAAANCUGAAAAAANUGGAGAAUUUCUACUACUUAGUUUAGAAAAAAAAANUCGUCUUUUUUCUAUAUUAAUUUUUAAAAAUUAACGAGAAUCAAGUGUAUUAAUCCUCUAGGUAUACUUACGCAAUAUACCUUUAUUUAUAUUAUAUUUUNAUAAACCUCCUGGUAUACUUACCCNAAUAGAGAYAUUUUAGAGACUACUAUACUCUAGUAGUAUAUUUUUUUCCUUACCCAAUAUAUUAGUCUAAAAAACUAAUAUAUUGGGUAUAUUGGGUAUUUAUCAAAUUAAUAUUCAAAUUUUUAAUAUAAUGAACAAUUCAAAAGAUCUA